RNAcentral lists this long non-coding RNA (3959 nucleotides) under Manihot esculenta (cassava). RNAcentral describes it as "long non-coding RNA (MESC_LNC004463)". Lineage: Eukaryota; Viridiplantae; Streptophyta; Magnoliopsida; Malpighiales; Euphorbiaceae. The record is from RNAcentral.
UGGAGCUCCAAAAAUGGUGGGCAUCUCUCAAUUUCUCACCAGUCUCGGCCAACAAGAGCCCUCUGGUCCACCGUUCCUGGACAAGCUUUUGUCUCUGCAGCUCUCACUGAGACAGAGAUUGAUGAAAGCAGGGGAUCGUUUGCUAUCAAAGAUGGGAAUGUUCUUGUGGUUUGUGACCACCAAACAAUUGAAGAUAUAAGAGUGAUCAAGCAGCUGGAUGGUAACCAUUUUGAGGAGGCUAGCGAUCUUGAUUCUUCAUCUGGUUAUCUGAGUUUUGACCAGACAAAGGAUUUGAAAGAUACCCAGUCCCCUGUUUUGUUAAUAACAGGCAAGUUAUUUAGCAAAAGAAAGAAGAAACUUCCAGAUUCUAGCAUUUAUAAGCACAUAGAUUUUGACACAAGGGGCCCACGCGCUUCUGCAAGGUAUUGGGUUCUCUUUGAUCAGAAGAACCUUAACCAGAUUGGUUUUCAAGUUAGAGUUGGAGAACCCAACUUUGAAUUCUCACCAAGAUCUUCACCGACUCGUUUUGGAAAAUACCAGAAGUUAAGGUUGAAACUACGAAGAAUUCGAAAACGAAGGCUUGGAUGGUUUAGAUUCUUUACAAGGCCUAGAGGGUUUGUUGCAGUUUCUUCAUCGGAGGAAGUAGACACUAAGGUUGCAGAGGUUACAGAGUUCAACAGAAUCUGCCUUAGCUAUUCAAGUGAAACUAAUGAAAGGUUCUAUGGUUUUGGAGAGCAGUUUUCUCAUAUGGACUUCAAAGGGAAAAGGGUGCCCAUUUUUGUUCAAGAACAGGGAAUUGGAAGAGGAGAUCAACCUAUUACUUUUGCAGCUAACUUGAUUAGCUACAGGUAGAUUUUCUUUUAACUAUUGGAUUCUGGUAGGUUUAGCUGUUGUAAUCUGAAUACUAGUUGUUUUUUUCUUUUCCUUUUGGCUUUAUUUUGCAGAGCUGGGGGUGAUUGGAGUACAACUUAUGCUCCUUCACCAUUCUACAUGACAUCUGAGAUGAGGUCCCUUUAUCUGGAUGGAUAUGAUUACUCUGUUUUCGAUUUAACUAGACAGGAUAGAGUUCAAAUACAGGUAUUGCUUUGAGAACCACAGCAACUUAUAUCCUAUAGACCAGAUGUAAUUUAGAAAAGCCAUGGUAAUGGCCAAAGACAGAAUUUCUUAGAUAAGACAAGAUUUGGCUUGCCAAAAAGCAUCAUAUUUCUAAGAAAUAAGUAUAUUUAUUCUCUCUAGAAAAACUUGCUGUAGUAAAAUGAGUUAUCUGUGCCCUCUUGAGAAUAUACAGACAAUAAAUAAAGAAAUUAGGUUAGUUCCUUGGUUAUAUAUAUUACUCAAGACAAUUGAAAGGAGUAGAAAAUAUUAUGUAAGCAAAAAAUAGAAGCUCAUUCAAGUUUAAACUUGCAGUUUCCUGUUUUCUGUAUCAUGGCGCUUGCAGAUUCACAGCAAUUCAGCUCAAGGAAGAAUUUUGCAUGGCAACUCACCUGCUGAGAUUAUUGAACACUUCACAGAAACUAUUGGGAGGCCUCCUGAGCUUCCUAAAUGGAUUAUAUCUGGAGCUGUCGUUGGAAUGCAGGGUGGAACAGAAGUUGUACGCCGCAUUUGGGAUGAACUUAAAGCCUAUAAGGUUCCCGUCUCCGCAUUUUGGUUGCAGGUACUCCCUGUAACUUUCAAAUGCAAAUCAAAGUUCAUUUAAAGUCCAAAUAAUCUUAUCUUCGAAACCAUAAAAAAUCUUUGCUUUGGGUUCUUCUAUAGAUAUACAAACUUAACUCCCAUUUAUAACUGUCAUUAGUUCAGGAUAAACUUUGGUUGGUUGAACUACAUUAACUGGUUUGAUUGACAACCAGAUGGAAAUAGUUUGACAUUUAAAAUUCUAACCUCCAUCUCAUGAUUAGUUCAAAAAACUCAGCACCUUGGUGAUCAUUAUGUAGAAGUUCUCACCGAGCAGCGAUUCAUGUGUAGGAUUGGGUAGGACAGAGAAAGACUCUGAUUGGAUCACAACUGUGGUGGAACUGGGAAGUGGAUACAACAAGGUAUAAGGGAUGGAAGCAAUUAGUUCAAGAUCUUGGUGCUCAGCAUAUUAAAGUGAUGACAUACUGCAACCCUUGUUUAGCUCCGGUACCAUUCUUUUUCCAAGCAUAUACAUUACCUCCACUCCAUCAUCAGUUUUUGUGCAUUAUCACUAGUGUAGGUUAUCAUAAAUUGCUACAUAUUUACAUAACACACAUGCUGGCAUUUCUUUUUCUCUGAAUCUCUCAUUCCCUUUCACAGACGGAUGAGAAACCAAACAGAAGGAGAAAUCUUUUUGAGGAGGCCAAAAAGUUGGACAUCUUAGUGAAAGACAAACAUGGAGAACCGUAUAUGGUUCCAAACACAGCUUUUGAUGUGGGAAUGUUGGAUUUGACCCACCCAGAUACCGCAAGUUGGUUCAAGCAGGUUUUGUUGGAAAUGGUAGAUGAUGGGGUCAGAGGAUGGAUGGCUGAUUUUGGUGAAGGUCUGCCUGUAGAUGCUGACCUUUAUUCAGGUAAGAAUUCCUCAUUCUUUCUUGACAAGAGUCAAUAUAUCCUAUUUAGUUACAUAGGAGCUAAUAUAAUGUUCGGCUUGAUGAGUCAAUAAAACUACAACCUCUUUGCAUCCUCUUUCUGUCCAAAUAACCAUAUGAUCAGAAUGUUAAAAUGAAUGAUUGGCCAGCACCAGCACACUAAACUCGAAACCAACAAUUUAACUAACUAUUGAAUUAUUUCUAAUAAUUUCAUCAACUAGGACUGAGGAUUAGAUUUCUAAAUACUUACACCAAUAGUAUAAUAUUAUAGAAUUAUAGGUAACUUUGGACUGACUGUUUCAGGCGAAGAUCCCAUCUCUGCCCAUAACAGAUACCCAGAGCUAUGGGCUAAAAUAAACCGAGAGUUUGUGGAAGAAUGGAAAGCAAAUCGUGUUGGUAAGGAGAGAGAGGACCCAGAAGAGUCUUUGGUCUUCUUCAUGAGGGCUGGUUUCAGGGAUAGUCCCAAAUGGGGGAUGCUAUUUUGGGAAGGAGACCAAAUGGUUAGUUGGCAGGCUAAUGAUGGGAUAAAAAGUGCUGUUGUUGGACUACUGAGUAGUGGACUUUCAGGAUACGCUUUCAAUCACAGUGAUGUUGGAGGCUACUGUGCAGUAAACUUGCCUUUUAUCAAGUAUAACAGAAGUGAGGAGUUGCUUAUUCGAUGGAUGGAACUAAAUGCUUUCACCACUGUUUUCCGGACACAUGAAGUAAGUUAAACCACUCGUCUGUGAUUCAUUAGCAUGCAUCAUAAUCAUCAAAUGGAAAAUAAGUGAAUAUCUUCUAAUCGCUCAAUACCGCCAAUAAUUCUUGCAAUUUUUUUUUCUGUAAUUUCAUGAUCCAUGAUGCUACCAAAUAUUUACAACUAUCUCCACACCAAUGACAUUUAUUUAUUGAAUUGAUUUAGAAAAAGAGAUAUUUUUUAAAAGUAAUAAUAUGAUGAGUCUCAUUUCUGUAUGUCACAUUAUUAUGAUUGUUCAACAGGGGACAAUGAUUUAUAUGAUCUUAUAGUUUGCUUAUUCCCACUAUUUCUCCAAGCAGGGAAAUAAACCAUCUCGCAACAGCCAAUUCUACUCAAACCAGAAAACUUUAUCAUAUUUUGCACGCUGUGCUAAAAUGUAUAAAGCUUGGUAUUUCUACAGAAUCCAACUAGUAAAGGUGAUACCUGAUAUUAAUGUGUUUUUCACCUCAAUUCAGUUUAACUUGCCUGGAGGAUCUAAAAAAUCUGUGUUCUUUGCAAACAGGAAGCAUCCCAGAAAGGCCUUCCCAUUUGCCGCCACCUUUUUCUUCAUUAUCCAAAUGAUAAGCAUGUGCAAAGCUUGAGCUACCACCAGUUCUUAAUUGGUACUGAAAUCCUAGUGGUGCCUGUUCUAGACAAGGGCAAGCAAAAUGUCAAGGCCUAUUUUCCAGAAGGUGAAACUUA